RNAcentral lists this ribosomal RNA (394 nucleotides) under uncultured bacterium. Its description in RNAcentral is "bacterial SSU rRNA". It matches the Rfam family "Bacterial small subunit ribosomal RNA", at positions 505 to 898 of the family's 1533-position model. The record is from RNAcentral.
GUGCCAGCAGCCGCGGUAAGACGUAGGGGGCAAGCGUUACCCGGAAUUACUGGGCGUAAAGGGGGCGUAGGCGGUAAAAGAAGUCAUCUGUGAAAACCUAUUGCUCAACGAUAGGCUAGCGGAUGAAACUGAAUUACUUGAGGGCACCAGAGGUAGACGGAAUUACCCGAGUAGGGGUGAAAUCCGCAGAUACGGGUAGGAACGCCGGUGGAGAAGUCGGUCUACUGGGGUGCACCAGACGCUGAGGCCCGAAAGCUAGGGGAGCAAACCGGAUUAGAUACCCGGGUAGUCCUAGCCGUAAACGAUGCUCACUAGGUGUAGGGAGUGAUAAACUCUCUGUGCUGAAGCGAACGCGCUAAGUGAGCCGCCUGGGGAGUACGUCCGCAAGGAUGAA